Molecule: ribosomal RNA, 556 nt
Filed under: uncultured bacterium
Lineage: Bacteria
Description: bacterial SSU rRNA
Rfam family: Bacterial small subunit ribosomal RNA
Source: RNAcentral
GCGAGCGGCGGAUGGGUGAGUAACACGUGGGGAACCUGCCCCUAAGUCUGGGAUACCAUUUGGAAACAGGUGCUAAUACCGGAUAAUAAAGCAGAUCGCAUGAUCAGCUUUUGAAAGGCGGCGUAAGCUGUCGCUAAGGGAUGGCCCCGCGGUGCAUUAGCUAGUUGGUAAGGUAACGGCUUACCAAGGCGACGAUGCAUAGCCGAGUUGAGAGACUGAUCGGCCACAUUGGGACUGAGACACGGCCCAAACUCCUACGGGAGGCAGCAGUAGGGAAUCUUCCACAAUGGACGCAAGUCUGAUGGAGCAACGCCGCGUGAGUGAAGAAGGUUUUCGGAUCGUAAAGCUCUGUUGUUGGUGAAGAAGGAUAGAGGUAGUAACUGGCCUUUAUUUGACGGUAAUCAACCAGAAAGUCACGGCUAACUACGUGCCAGCAGCCGCGGUAAUACGUAGGUGGCAAGCGUUGUCCGGAUUUAUUGGGCGUAAAGCGAGCGCAAGCGGAAAAAUAAGUCUAAUGUGAAAGCCCUCGGCUUAACCGAGGAACUUGCAUCGGAAA